Long non-coding RNA from Cyprinodon variegatus (sheepshead minnow), 437 nucleotides. RefSeq lists it as uncharacterized. The transcript is spliced from 3 exons. The record is from RefSeq and is a predicted model, not a curated record. NCBI's taxonomy places the organism in Eukaryota, Metazoa, Chordata, Actinopteri, Cyprinodontiformes, Cyprinodontidae.
AAGAUGGAGGAAUAAAAAGGGGGAGGAAUGGAAAGCUGGCGACAGAGACAGGGAUCUCACACUGUCGACACACAGAAAGACAACGUUGAUUGCUUUGAGGCAAUCUGCCGGCCAACCUUGACAUUUCCCCGGCGCUUGGUCAAGAUCAUCGUUGUGAGUCAGGCCGACUGGAGACAGAAACAAGAGCAAACACGAGCCCUGAAAGAAGGGGUGAGGGAAUGCAGGGGUGAGGAAGGUGAUGGAGGUCCUACAGUAGAGGACUUAUGGGGCAAGGCUCAUACAUAUGCCUAAAUGAGACAUCAGCAAAGCUUCUUAUGGAACCAACACCUUCCAGGGAAGGAAUGCUCACACGAGCCUGAUCAGCCAAUCAGAGAUGUGUGGCCCUGUUACACUGGCAUAACAAAAAUUUAUUCUUUUGUUUCAUUAAGGUUUUACUG